CAGGAGGCUUACUCUCGAAUUACAAUCCCAAUAUACGAUCCCAAUCUCAAUGCAAGAAACGUCAUUUGGCACUCUUGAAUUUAACACUAGCGCCACAUUGGUGCGGAUAUUGAAUGAACUAAAUUUCAUUGGGAUUGAGUUUUGGAACUUGAGAUCGUUACUCUUGAAGCCACUUUGACAGCUCCAUAUUGCGUUGAAAUUGUGUUGUUAUUGGAUAUUGUAACAAUAGCGAAAGAGUAACUUUGUUAGAAUUGAGUUAACAUUUUAGCUGUGAAAAAGUGCAUAAAAUGGUUCGUUUGGUGUUGCAAAGCGUAAUUCUUAGUGAUGUCUAUAGGAAGGAUUCGCGAGAAACUCGUAAUUUGCGUAGGAAUGCUCGAUACGCCGAUAAAACCCUUGCUAUGACUGACGACGAGUUUAAGCGAAAUUAUUGUGUCACCAAGGCAUUUUUUUAUGGAUUGUGCUAAGAAUUUGAACCCUUGAUGCAAACUACAAAAACGAGAAAUGAUAUCAGUAAAAAAUACAAGAUACUAAUAGCACUUUCAUUCUUUGCGACUGGCGGGAUACUAGGUACUCCCAUGUCACAGCAAUCAUUAUCUCGAGCAUUGAGGGAUGUGAGUGCAGCAUUAAACAGCCCGAGUGUUCUGCAUAAACACAUAAUAUAUAGAGUGUUACAUUAUUACCCUGUUGUAGCAACAAAAAUUAUAAACACUUGCUGCAUGCUCCACAAUAUGUGUAACCGGGCACAUUUAAUAGUGGAAGAUGAUGAGAACCCUAAUAACAUACAGACCUAACUGUUGAUGUAGAACCUGCACUACAAGAAAGAGAUGGAGCUUCUAUAGAGCUGCAAAGGGGUAUAGAAGCUAGAGCAAAUCUUGUGCGACAAUUGUGGGCAGCAUGUGGUGUGUGAUAAUGAGUAAUAUUUGGUUGGGAAUAUCCUCACAGGAAGUAUAAAAACAAUCAUUAUUUAAAAAAUAUAUUUAUUGUUUAUAAUCUUUAUUGACCUAAAAUACAGAGAACACUAAUAUAAUUUGUAAUAAUUAAUAAAUUAUUAUUUAAAUAACAUUUAAAAAUCUACACAAAACUUCAUAAAUAUUAGUAUGGAAUCAUAUAAUGCCUACAAAACUUUUUUCACCUUGCUGCUCGCUGUGUUCUACCUGCAGCCCUGCCUCCACAGGAGGCUGUGGAUUAUGAAUAUGAAUUUCUUGCUCUAUUUCCAGGGUUUCAGUGGCAGCCUGUGAUGUGGAUGGCAGGUCUAUUAAUUUAGAAGGGCGAGACUGCAAAAGAAAGGAAGUUAUUAUAUAUCACAUAACUGAAUUAGAUGUAUAUUACAAUUGUGUGCAAAAUGAAUUAUUUGUUUUUUACUGU
Molecule: long non-coding RNA, 1365 nt
Organism: Plodia interpunctella (Indianmeal moth)
Lineage: Eukaryota; Metazoa; Arthropoda; Insecta; Lepidoptera; Pyralidae
Exons: 2
Source: RefSeq, a predicted model, not a curated record